This is a long non-coding RNA of Oncorhynchus masou masou (cherry salmon), 4899 nucleotides long. RefSeq lists it as uncharacterized. NCBI's taxonomy places the organism in Eukaryota, Metazoa, Chordata, Actinopteri, Salmoniformes, Salmonidae. The record is from RefSeq and is a predicted model, not a curated record. The transcript has 2 exons.
CUACCUGACCACCCUCCACCCUCCACCACCCUCCACCCUCCCUGACCACCCUAUACCCUACCUGACUCCCCUCCACCCUGCCUGACUACCCUAUACCCUACCUGACUACCCUCCACCCUACCUGACCACCCUCCACCCUACCUGACCACCCUAUACCCUACCUGACCACCCUCCACCCUACCUGACCACCCUAUACCCUACCUGACUAACCUCCACCCUACCUGACCACCCUCCACCCUACCUGACCACCCUAUACCCUACCUGACUCCCCUCCACCCUGCCUGACUACCCUAUACCCUACCUGGCUACCCUCCACCCUACCUGACCACCCUCCACCCUACCUGACCACCCUCCACCCUACCUGACCACCCUAUACCCUUCCUGACUACCCUCCACCCUACCUGACCACCCUCCACCCUAUCUGACCACCCCGCCUGACUACCCUGCACCCUACCUGACCACCUUAUACCCUACCUAACCACGCUACCUGAUCACCUUAUACCCUAUCUGACCACCCUCCACCUUACCUGACCACCCUCCACCCUACCUGACCACCUUAUACUCUACCUGACCACCCUAAACCCUACCUGACUACCCUCCACCUUACCUGACCACCCUCCACCCUACCUGACCACCUUAUACCCUACAUGACCACCCUCCACCCUACCUGACCACCCUCCACCCUACCUGACCACCCUCCACCCUACCUGACCACCUUAUACCCUACUUAUUUUGGUUUCAUUUAUUUAUACCAAAGAAAACAAGUGACAGACAACAAUACAGAUCAAAUCAAUAAUAAAUGUUGUGCAGGUUGGAAGGGCUGAUUUAAAAACAACACCUCCAAAAACAAUAUACAAUACAGAUGUAGACAAAGGUUUGUUUAAACAGAUAACAAAACCUACUAAUUAUGAAUGUAUAAAUUAAUCAGUAAUCAUUAAACAAAUAAAUACAUAUUUUUGUUUUGUUUAAAUGUGAGAGUUGGGCUAUAUGGAAGGGUUUACUGAGUAGUUUGGUUCAUCAAGCUGACCUCCAGUCUUAACUUGACGUUAUUGAGGGAUGAUGAUGUUUUGGCAAUGUGAAGAUAAGAAUUCCAGAGUACCUCUGUAUCUGAAAGAGAAUUGAUUAAAUGAGGUGUGACAGUGGGGAGGGUGAACGUUAUAUAGAUUAAUUUUAUAAUGAACCUGGAAGAAUCCAUUGAAGGGUUUAGGUCAACUGUCUUUGAGGUAUGAGUAUAUGUAGAUGAAAGUGCAUAAUUGGUGCACAUUAAUGUUGUAAAUAGACAAGAUAUUGAGUUUCUUAAACAAAGCUGCAGAUGGAGCCAGGUAAUUAGAGUAGGUGUCUAGUCAUGCACAUUUCUUUUGUAUGAUGAGUAAUUUGUGUAGGUAGAAGGCAUAUCUACUGGCCCAGACAAUAUUACAGUAAAUGAGAUAUGGGUAACUGAAGCUCCAGUAUAGAGAUAUGGGUAACUGAAGCUCCAGUUUAGAGAUAUGGGUAACUGAAGCUCCAGUAUAGAGAUAUGGGUAACUGAAGCUCCAGUAUAGAGAUAUGGGUAACUGAAGCUCCAGUAUAGAGAUAUGGGUAACUGAAGCUCCAGUAUAGAGAUAUGGGUUAGUUAUAUGAGUUAGGAAGCCUGACGAACCAAACCACUCAUAUAUCUGAUAUCAACACAUUUCAUCACUUUACUGCAGACGGAAUGUGAUCUUUCCAGGGUAACUUGUCAUCUAUUAAAACUCCCUGGAAUCUAGUGGAUGUGACUUGUUCCGUUUCAUUCACACCAAUUGAGAUUCUGGCUCUUUAACAAUAUUUCUUAUUCUUACUAUUGAAUACAAUAACGUAGGAUUUUUUUAUAUUUAAAGAUGAAUUGUGUAUUUGGAACCAUUCAGAACAUUUGGCAAUGCCUGUGUUAGCUUAAUUAAUUAGUGAAUCAAAAUGAUUGUGUUAUAAAAUCUAAUUGAUGUCAUCAACAAAGAGAAUGAGAAGUACAGUAGAAGACAAAGCAGUAAGGUUAUUGAUAUAGUUUAGUAUGUAAUGGUAGAAGACACAGCAACAAGGUUAUUGAUAUAGAUUAGUAUGGUAUAAGACCCAGCAGUAAGGUUAUUGAUUUAGCUUAGUAUUGAUUGGUAGAAGACAGCAACAAGGAUAUAGAUUAGUAUGGAAUGGUAGAAGACACAGCAACAAUGUUAUUGUUAUAGAUUAGUAUGGUAGAAGACUCAGCAGUAGGGUUAUUGAUAUAGAUUAGUAUGGUAGAAGACACAGCAACAAGGUUAUUGUUAUAGAUUAGUAUGGUAGAAGACUCAGCAGUAAGGUUAUUGAUAUAGAUUAGUAUGGAUUGGUAGAAGACAGCAACAAGGAUAUAGAUUAGUAUGGAAUGGUAGAAGACACAGUAACAAGGUAUUGAUAUAGAUUUGUAUGUUAUGGUAGAAGACUCAGCAGUAAGGUUAUUGAUAUAGAUUAGUAUGGUAGAAGACACAGCAACAAGGUUAUUGAUAUAGAUUAGUAUGGUAGAAGACUCAGCAGUAAGGUUAUUGAUAUAGAUUAGUGUGGUGGAAGACCCAGCAGUAAGGUUAUUGAUAUAGAUUAGUAUGGUAGAAGACUCAGCAGGAAGGUUAUUGAUAUAGAUUAGUAUGGUGGAAGACUCAGCAGUAAGGUUAUUGAUAUAGAUUAGUGUGGUAGAAGACUCAGCAGUAAGGUUAUUGAUAUAGAUUAGUAUGGUAGAAGACUCAGCAGUAAGGUUAUUGAUAUAGAUUAGUAUGGUAGAAGACUCAGCAGUAAGGUUAUUGAUAUAGAUUAGUAUGGUAGAAGACCCAGCAGGAAGGUUAUUGAUAUAGAUUAGUAUGGUAGAAGACCCAGCAGGAAGGUUAUUGAUAUAGAUUAGUAUGGUAGAAGACCCAGCAGUAAGGUUAUUGAUAUAGAGUUGAAGUCUGAAGUUUACAUUACACUUAGGUUGGAGUCAUUAAAACUCAUUUUUCAACCACUCCACACAUUUCUUGUUCACAAACUAUAGUUUUGGCAAGUCGGUUAGAUCUACUUUGUGCGUGACACCGGUCAUUUUUCCAACAAUUGAUUACAGACAGAUUAUUUCACCUAUAAUUCACUGUAUCACAAUUCCAGUGGGUCAGAAGUUUACAUACACUAAGUUGACUGUGCCUUUAAACAGCUUGUAAAAUUCCAGAAAAUGAUGUCAUGACUUCAGAAGCUUCUGAUGGGCUAAUUGACAUAAUUUGAGUCAAUUGGAGGUGUACCUGUGGAUAUAUUACAAGGCCUACCUUCAAACUCAGUGCCUCUUUGCUUGACAUUGGAAAAUCAACAGAAAUCAGACAAGACCUCAGAAAAAUAUUUGAGACCUUCAAAAGCCUGGUUCAUCCUUGGGAGAAAUUUCCAAACGCCUGAAGGUACCAAAUUCAUCUGUACAAGCAAUAGUACGCAGGUAUAAACACCAUGGGACCACGCAGCCGUUAUACCUCUCAGGAAGGAGACGUGUUCUUUCUUCUCAGAUAUGAACAUUCUUUGGUGCAAAAAGUGCAAAUCAAUCCCAAGUCAAAUAAGAGUCCUAUAUCGACAUAACUUGAAAGGCCGCUCGGCAAGGAAGAAGCCACUGCUCCAAAACCGCCGUAAAAUAGCCAGAUUACGGUUUGCAACUGCACAUGGGGACAAAGAUGGUUCUUUUUGGAGAAAUGUCUGAUGAAACAAAAAUAGAACUGUUUGGCCAUAAUGACCAUCGUUAUGUUUGGAGGAAAAAGGGGGAGGCUUGCAAGCCAAAGAACACCAUCCCAAAUGGGUCUUCCAAAUGGACAAUGACCCCAAGCAUACUUCAGAAGUUGUGGCAAAAUGGCUUAAGGACAACAAAGUAAUUGGAGUGGCCAUCACAAAGCCCUGACCUCAACCCUAUAGGAAAGUUUUGGGCAGAACUGAGAAAGCGUGUGUGAGCAAGGAGGCCUACAAACCUGACUCAGUUACACCAGCUCUAUCAGGAGGAAUGGCCAGAAUUCACCCAACUUAUUGUGGGAAGCUUGUGGAAGGCUACCCGAAACGUUUGACCCAAAUUAAACCAUUUAAAGGCAAUGCUACUAAAUACUAAUUGAGUGUAUGUAAACUUCUGACCCACUGGGAAUGUGAUGAAAUUAAUAAAAAUAAUCUUCGAUUAUUCUGACAUUUCACAUUCUUACACUAAAGUGUUGAUCCUAACUGACCUAAGACAGGGAAUCUUUCAUUGUUGUUGAAUGUUUGCGCUCACUCAAACACAAAUAAAGAUGCAUUCUUUGGAGGGGGACUGAGACAGGUGUAAUGGCGGACUGAACAAAGAUAAAAACGUAAUAUUCAAUACCGGCAAGUUAGACAAAAAAAUUAGCACUACACAAUCUGGUGGGUGAUGACCUUCAAUCUGGAUAACAACACAAAACAAAUCUUAAGACUAGAGACAUUUAUCGACAAAUAUUACGAAGACAAGCAACACCUGUUAGAGUUGCGUAAAUUCGAAUCUGGGCUCAGGAUAAAUAUAACAAUGAGUCACCGAUUUUAUACUAUGUAUUUUUUAUUAGCUAAGUAAUAAAUGGCAAAUGCAACUUUCGUAUAUACGGGCUCACUGUAAUACCACGCAGGGCAGAACAGAGAACUGACAAGACGUAUGUAAAACAGUAUUCUUUAUACUGUGAUAGAGAGUUCCGACCUGUCUGUUGGCCUAUCACAGUAGAGACUGGGCGUGGUUUAAACUUGUCCAGCCUAUUGCAGGCGCUCAGGCGGGUCCCCGCCUCUUGGCGCUUCUGUUGAUAGAUGUAACUUGCUUGUGAAGAACAUCCAGGUUCUCAUGCUCCAUACCGUUAUCUCGCACCUGGCUCCUGUUAUCUAACAAAAGACCGCUUGUUCUCGCAACACCCCGCUCUGAAUGUGCCCCCCUCCCAA